GGGGCUGUAAAGGUUUCGACGGGGUUUCAGAAGCGGAUUAAGCCACUGGCAGCGGAUAUCUGCCUAAAAAGAUCCAAUUAAAAUUAAACGCUAAAAAUAAUAAAUUAGCUUUAGCUGCCUAAGUGCAGCUCGUCGGCCGCAGAGGCCCGCAGCUGCCAAGCCGGCGUCAUUCCUGCGGGAAAGUCUGCCGCCUAAGCUUGUAAGCGGCAGAACAUCACAAGCUACUUCUUAUCGGAGUCUGUCAUUGGGGACCGGUAAGGGGGAAUCAAAAUUUCAAUGACUGUAGUGGGAGAAAGAUGCGUGGAGGAGAUUUCGGACGCGGGUUCGAUUCCCGCCAGCUCCAUAA
This 346-nucleotide transfer-messenger RNA is filed under the name Lachnospiraceae bacterium. It matches the Rfam family "transfer-messenger RNA". Rfam says of the family: Bacterial tmRNA, also known as 10Sa RNA or SsrA, is named for its dual tRNA and mRNA-like properties. Its role is to liberate the mRNA from a stalled ribosome. To accomplish this part of the tmRNA is used as a reading frame that ends in a translation stop signal. Lineage: Bacteria; Bacillati; Bacillota; Clostridia; Lachnospirales; Lachnospiraceae. The record is from RNAcentral.